RNAcentral lists this ribosomal RNA (916 nucleotides) under uncultured bacterium. Its description in RNAcentral is "bacterial SSU rRNA". It matches the Rfam family "Bacterial small subunit ribosomal RNA", at positions 8 to 905 of the family's 1533-position model. The record is from RNAcentral.
AGAGUUUGAUCCUGGCUCAUAACGAACGCUGGCGGCGUGCCUAACACAUGCAAGUCGAACGUGAAAGUCCUUCGGGAUGAGUAAAGUGGCGCACGGGUGAGUAAUGCGUAGAUAUCUGCCUGGUGAUCAGGGAUAACAUCUCGAAAGGGGUGCUAAUACCGGAUAAGCCCACGGAGUCUUCGGAUUCUGCGGGAAAAGGGGGGGACCUUCGGGCCUUCUGUCACCAGAUGAGUCUACGUACCAUUAGCUAGUUGGUGGGGUAAGAGCCCACCAAGGCGACGAUGGUUAGCUGGUCUGAGAGGAUGAUCAGCCACACUGGAACUGAGACACGGUCCAGACUCCUACGGGAGGCAGCAGUGGGGAAUUUUGCGCAAUGGGGGAAACCCUGACGCAGCAACGCCGCGUGAGUGAUGAAGGCCUUCGGGUCGUAAAGCUCUGUCAGAGGGAAAGAAAUGUGGGGCGCUAAUACCGUUACCACUUGACGGUACCCUCAAAGGAAGCACCGGCUAACUCCGUGCCAGCAGCCGCGGUAAUACGGAGGGUGCUAGCGUUGUUCGGAAUUAUUGGGCGUAAAGCGCGUGUAGGCGGUUUCAUAAGUCUGAUGUGAAAGCCCCGGGCUCAACCUGGGAAGUGCAUUGGAUACUGUGAGACUUGAGUACGGGAGAGGGCAGUGGAAUUCCUAGUGUAGGAGUGAAAUCCGUAGAUAUUAGGAGGAACACCGGUGGCGAAGGCGGCUGCCUGGACCGAUACUGACGCUGAGACGCGAAAGCGUGGGGAGCAAACAGGAUUAGAUACCCUGGUAGUCCACGCCGUAAACGAUGAGUACUAGGUGUUGCGGGUAUUGACCCCUGCAGUGCCGCAGCUAACGCAUUAAGUACUCCGCCUGAGAAGUACGGUCGCAAGACUAAAACUCAAA